RNAcentral lists this transfer RNA (87 nucleotides) under Cordylochernes scorpioides. Its description in RNAcentral is "tRNA-Tyr". The record is from RNAcentral. Lineage: Eukaryota; Metazoa; Arthropoda; Arachnida; Pseudoscorpiones; Chernetidae.
UCCCUCGAGCCGGAUUUGAACCAGCGACCUAAGGAUCACCGUUGAAACAUCUACAGUCCUCCACUCUGCCAACUGAGCUAUCGAGGG